Molecule: long non-coding RNA, 727 nt
Organism: Ochotona princeps (American pika)
Lineage: Eukaryota; Metazoa; Chordata; Mammalia; Lagomorpha; Ochotonidae
Exons: 3
Source: RefSeq, a predicted model, not a curated record
AUAAGACAGGAGCUGGAUAGGAAGUGGAGCAGCUAAGGUAUGAACUGGCAUCCAUACGGGAUCCUGGCACCUGAAGGGGGAGAAUUAGGUAAUUGAUCAUUGCACCAGGCCUCAAAUGGAGAUUUUAUAAACCUCCAAAGAGGAGUAAAUAAGAAAAGGCAUAAACUGCCAAACAUCCCGCCAAACUAAUGGAUAUAGCAGUGCAGUUGUCUAGAUGUGGUUUGUUUCCCAAAGAUUCAGAUGUGAAAAGCUGAGUCUCCAUGGGUGGUAUUCAGGUGGUGGAUCCUCUAGGAGGUGAGGCCUAGUGGAAGAACAUUAGGUUAUGAAGGUGCUUUGCUUACCUUUCUGAAUGAAUUUGAGGUGACUUGCAGGAUUGGGCUAGCUCUGGUAGGAGUGCAUGUAUUCUAUAAGAGCAGGCUGUUACCAAUAGCUUGAGUGUGCGGCCUCCCUGGUCUCUUGCUUUGUUACCGUUAUGCAUGUUCUUUUUGCAGGUGGCUGGUGUACUUCUCCACCAUGAGGUGAUGCAGCCAGGAUGCCGGCAGCAGGGUGUUAGGAACUUCAACCUGGCAGACUUAUAUUUCCCACCCAUGAUUGGUUGAAUCAGUAGCUAUGGACACCCUGAGUCUGGACCUUGACCAUCUCUGCCCCACCCUUGGGCCUGGGAGAGAAUGUCUAUCACCUCUAAACCCAAACUGAUCAUCUCUGAAGUGUCUUCUAGUAUAACGGU